UACGUAGGCAGCGAGCGUUGUUCGGAUUUACUGGGCGUAAAGGGUGUGUAGGCGGUUGUUUAAGUUUGGUGUGAAAUCUCCCGGCUCAACUGGGAGGGUGCGCCGAAUACUGAAUGACUUGGAGUGCGGGAGAGGAGAGUGGAAUUCCUGGUGUAGCGGUGAAAUGCGUAGAUAUCAGGAGGAACACCGGUGGUGUAGACGGCUCUCUGGACCGUAACUGACGCUGAGACACGAAAGCGUGGGUAGCAAACAGG
Molecule: ribosomal RNA, 254 nt
Filed under: uncultured bacterium
Lineage: Bacteria
Description: partial 16S ribosomal RNA
Rfam family: Bacterial small subunit ribosomal RNA
Source: RNAcentral